RNAcentral lists this ribosomal RNA (235 nucleotides) under uncultured bacterium. Its description in RNAcentral is "partial 16S ribosomal RNA". It matches the Rfam family "Bacterial small subunit ribosomal RNA", at positions 103 to 334 of the family's 1533-position model. The record is from RNAcentral.
CGGGUAGCGGAACACGUACAGAACCUUCCUUUAAGCGGGGAAUAGCCCGGAGAAAUCCGGAUUAAUACCCCAUAAGAUUAUAUAGUGGCAUCACUUGGUAUAAUUAAAGAUUUAUCACUUAAAGAUGGCUGUGCGCCUGAUUAGGUAGUUGGUGCGGGUAAUGGCCCACCAAGCCAACGAUCAGUAACUGGUGUGAGAGCACGACCAGUCACACGGGCACUGAGACACGGGCCCG